Molecule: non-coding RNA, 73 nt
Organism: Lipotes vexillifer (Yangtze River dolphin)
Lineage: Eukaryota; Metazoa; Chordata; Mammalia; Artiodactyla; Lipotidae
Source: the annotation of a RefSeq genome assembly
UCUCUGGUAGUCCAGUGGUUAGGACUUGGUGCUUCCACUGCCAGGGCCCCAGAUUCGAUCCCUGGUCAGAGAA